AUGGAUGCAGACGGAGCGGGCAACGCCCCCGCCUUCCCGGUGCCGCGGCAGCAGGCCCCGUCGUCGACGACGCUGCUGUUCCCGCCUCCGACGACGCCAUUGGCGCCGUACUACUAUUCUUCAUCUUCUCCGGCGACGUCGUCCCGCCUGACGCACCACGUGACGCUGAGCCUCACCAGCCUGCCCAUCCUGGUGCUCACCGUGCUCGGCAUCCUCACCACCUCCGCGCUCCUCCUCACCUACUACGUCUUGGUCAUCCGCUGCUGCCUCACCUGGCACGCCACCACCUCCGACCACGACUCCCGCGCGCCCAGAAGCCUCGUCAUCUCCCUCACCCGCCGCCGCCAUCGCCGCAACAGCACCCCCUCCGACCACGAGCUCCCCGUGGUGCACGGGCCGGUGCCCGACGAGCCACGCACUGGGCUCGGGGAGCCGGCCAUCCGGGCGCUGCCGGCGUUCAGGUACACCAAGGCCGCCAAGGACGACGCCACCGGCGGCGACGCGAGCGAGUGCGCCGUGUGCCUCGGCGAGUUCCAGGAGGGGGAGAGGGUAAGGCUCCUGCCGGGCUGCCUCCAUGUCUUCCACGCCGAGUGCAUCGACACCUGGCUCCACGGCUGCGCCAGCUGCCCCCUCUGCCGGGCAGCCAUCACCGGCAAACAAGCUCCGUUGACAAUGGACCGGCCGCCGAGGCGAGAGGAGGUGGUCAUCCAGGUGCAGGUCGCCGGCACCGGAGAAGAAGAAGGCACACCGCAGCGAGAACACGCCACGGCGGCCUCGAAGAGCAGCACUCACUUCCAUGGAGAAUGCAGCGGCGGCGGCGGCGGCAAUGAAGCACGUUGUAGUAAGUAG
RNAcentral lists this ribosomal RNA (849 nucleotides) under Triticum aestivum (bread wheat). RNAcentral's name for it is "partial small subunit ribosomal RNA". Lineage: Eukaryota; Viridiplantae; Streptophyta; Magnoliopsida; Poales; Poaceae. The record is from RNAcentral.